This 545-nucleotide ribosomal RNA is filed under the name uncultured bacterium. Its description in RNAcentral is "bacterial SSU rRNA". It matches the Rfam family "Bacterial small subunit ribosomal RNA", at positions 777 to 1320 of the family's 1533-position model. The record is from RNAcentral.
AAUAGAUACCCUGGUAGUCCACCCCGUAAACGUUGGGAACUAGUUGUGGGGUCCUUUCCACGGAUUCCGUGACGCAGCUAACGCAUUAAGUUCCCCGCCUGGGGAGUACGGCCGCAAGGCUAAAACUCAAAGGAAUUGACGGGGACCCGCACAAGCGGCGGAGCAUGCGGAUUAAUUCGAUGCAACGCGAAGAACCUUACCAAGGCUUGACAUACACCAGAACACCCUAGAAAUAGGGGACUCUUUGGACACUGGUGAACAGGUGGUGCAUGGUUGUCGUCAGCUCGUGUCGUGAGAUGUUGGGUUAAGUCCCGCAACGAGCGCAACCCUCGUUCUAUGUUGCCAGCACGUAAUGGUGGGAACUCAUGGGAUACUGCCGGGGUCAACUCGGAGGAAGGUGGGGAUGACGUCAAAUCAUCAUGCCCCUUAUGUCUUGGGCUUCACGCAUGCUACAAUGGCCGGUACAAAGGGCUGCAAUACCGUGAGGUGGAGCGAAUCCCAAAAAGCCGGUCCCAGUUCGGAUUGAGGUCUGCAACUCGACCUCA